RNAcentral lists this ribosomal RNA (484 nucleotides) under uncultured bacterium. RNAcentral's name for it is "partial 16S ribosomal RNA". It matches the Rfam family "Bacterial small subunit ribosomal RNA", at positions 28 to 507 of the family's 1533-position model. The record is from RNAcentral.
AUUGAUCGCUGGCGGCAUGCUUUACACAUGCAAGUCGAACGGCAGCGCGGGCUUCGGCCUGGCGGCGAGUGGCGAACGGGUGAGUAAUGCAUCGGAACGUGCCCAGUAGUGGGGGAUAGCCCGGCGAAAGCCGGAUUAAUACCGCAUACGACCUGAGGGUGAAAGCGGGGGACCGAAAGGCCUCGCGCUAUUGGAGCGGCCGAUGUCGGAUUAGCUAGUUGGUGGGGUAAAGGCUUACCAAGGCGACGAUCCGUAGCUGGUCUGAGAGGACGACCAGCCACACUGGGACUGAGACACGGCCCAGACUCCUACGGGAGGCAGCAGUGGGGAAUUUUGGACAAUGGGGGCAACCCUGAUCCAGCCAUGCCGCGUGCGGGAAGAAGGCCUUCGGGUUGUAAACCGCUUUUGUUCGGGAAGAAAUCCUCUGGGCUAAUACCCCGGGGGGAUGACGGUACCGGAAGAAUAAGCACCGGCUAACUACGUG